RNAcentral lists this ribosomal RNA (1042 nucleotides) under Escherichia coli. RNAcentral describes it as "partial 23S ribosomal RNA". It matches the Rfam family "Bacterial large subunit ribosomal RNA", at positions 354 to 1396 of the family's 2925-position model. Lineage: Bacteria; Pseudomonadati; Pseudomonadota; Gammaproteobacteria; Enterobacterales; Enterobacteriaceae. The record is from RNAcentral.
GCGAUACAGGGUGACAGCCCCGUACACAAAAAUGCACAUGCUGUGAGCUCGAUGAGUAGGGCGGGACACGUGGUAUCCUGUCUGAAUAUGGGGGGACCAUCCUCCAAGGCUAAAUACUCCUGACUGACCGAUAGUGAACCAGUACCGUGAGGGAAAGGCGAAAAGAACCCCGGCGAGGGGAGUGAAAAAGAACCUGAAACCGUGUACGUACAAGCAGUGGGAGCACAGAGCAAUCUGUGUGACUGCGUACCUUUUGUAUAAUGGGUCAGCGACUUAUAUUCUGUAGCAAGGUUAACCGAAUAGGGGAGCCGAAGGGAAACCGAGUCUUAACUGGGCGUUAAGUUGCAGGGUAUAGACCCGAAACCCGGUGAUCUAGCCAUGGGCAGGUUGAAGGUUGGGUAACACUAACUGGAGGACCGAACCGACUAAUGUUGAAAAAUUAGCGGAUGACUUGUGGCUGGGGGUGAAAGGCCAAUCAAACCGGGAGAUAGCUGGUUCUCCCCGAAAGCUAUUUAGGUAGCGCCUCGUGAAUUCAUCUCCGGGGGUAGAGCACUGUUUCGGCAAGGGGGUCAUCCCGACUUACCAACCCGAUGCAAACUGCGAAUACCGGAGAAUGUUAUCACGGGAGACACACGGCGGGUGCUAACGUCCGUCGUGAAGAGGGAAACAACCCAGACCGCCAGCUAAGGUCCCAAAGUCAUGGUUAAGUGGGAAACGAUGUGGGAAGGCCCAGACAGCCAGGAUGUUGGCUUAGAAGCAGCCAUCAUUUAAAGAAAGCGUAAUAGCUCACUGGUCGAGUCGGCCUGCGCGGAAGAUGUAACGGGGCUAAACCAUGCACCGAAGCUGCGGCAGCGACGCUUAUGCGUUGUUGGGUAGGGGAGCGUUCUGUAAGCCUGCGAAGGUGUGCUGUGAGGCAUGCUGGAGGUAUCAGAAGUGCGAAUGCUGACAUAAGUAACGAUAAAGCGGGUGAAAAGCCCGCUCGCCGGAAGACCAAGGGUUCCUGUCCAACGUUAAUCGGGGCAGGGUGAGUCGACCCCUAAGG